UUUACCAAUGUAGGGAUAAAGAGACUGAGGUAUCAGGAAGGCAAGGCUGGAUUAAAGCUAGAAGGUACGUAAACGGCGUAUGGAAGAUUGCACACGUGCUUUCUCCCACGGACCUCCAGAAGUCCUCCUGGGAGAGGGAACAGCCCUGUGCUGUGGCUUCCUUCAGCUCCCAGCCCUGAGCGCCACCUGCACGAGCCUCCCAGGAUACGGACUAUACCAGCCAGGAGCCAGGCUCUCCCCACUCCCACCCCUUGGCAAUGGAAUGCCACCAAUCCCAGCCUGCCUGUCGCAGCCCUGCCGAAUGGAAUUCAAAAAUUUGCAGUACUUGCACUCUUUGGGAGCUGGCCUUGGGAUAUUCACCCAUUUGCCUGUUGGCCUGGACAGGACUGUGUUGGUGCCACCUGAGAGUCGACCUCAAUUCUGUUUCUUAGAAUUUCCCAUAUCUCUGAGUCUUCUGCCUUGAACAAAUGUCUUGGGAAGUCCCGGGCUCUCUUGGUCUCAUUUAAUAUCAC
This is a long non-coding RNA of Cavia porcellus (domestic guinea pig), 512 nucleotides long. RefSeq lists it as uncharacterized. The transcript is spliced from 4 exons. The record is from RefSeq and is a predicted model, not a curated record. NCBI's taxonomy places the organism in Eukaryota, Metazoa, Chordata, Mammalia, Rodentia, Caviidae.